AUACGGAGGGUGCAAGCGUUAAUCGGAAUUACUGGGCGUAAAGCGCACGCAGGCGGUUUGUUAAGUCAGAUGUGAAAGCCCCGGGCUCAACCUGGGAACUGCAUUUGAUACUGGCAAACUAGAGUAUGAGAGAGAGAAGUGGAAUUCCACAUGUAGCGGUGAAAUGCGUAGAGAUGUGGAGGAACAUCAGUGGCGAAGGCGACUUCUUGGCUCAAUACUGACGCUCAGGUGCGAAAGCGUGGGGAGCAAACAGGAUUAGAAACCCCAGUAGUCC
Molecule: ribosomal RNA, 274 nt
Filed under: uncultured bacterium
Lineage: Bacteria
Description: partial 16S ribosomal RNA
Rfam family: Bacterial small subunit ribosomal RNA
Source: RNAcentral